RNAcentral lists this ribosomal RNA (538 nucleotides) under uncultured bacterium. RNAcentral's name for it is "bacterial SSU rRNA". It matches the Rfam family "Bacterial small subunit ribosomal RNA", at positions 8 to 521 of the family's 1533-position model. The record is from RNAcentral.
AGAGUUUGAUCCUGGCUCAGGAUGAAUGCUGGCGGCGUGCCUAAUACAUGCAAGUCGAGCGGUAACGGGGCUUCACCGUUCUCUUGUCGCACUUGGCCUUUGAGCAAGUGGUCUGGAUACGAGGGAACAGUGAAGCUGCCGACGAGCGGCGGACGGCUGAGUAACGCGUGGGAACAUACCCCAAACUGAGGGAUAACUAGUCGAAAGAUUAGCUAAUACCGCAUAUGAUCUUCGGAUUAAAGCUUUCGGGCGGUUUGGGAAUGGCCUGCGUACGAUUAGAUAGUUGGUGAGGUAAAGGCUCACCAAGUCGACGAUCGUUAGAUGGUUUGAGAGGAUGAUCAUCCAGACUGGGACUGAGACACGGCCCAGACUCCUACGGGAGGCAGCAGUAGGGAAUCUUUCACAAUGGGCGAAAGCCUGAUGGAGCAACGCCGCGUGCAGGAUGAAGGCCUUCGGGUUGUAAACUGCUUUUAUAAGCGAGAAAUAUGAUGGUAACUUAUGAAUAAGGAUCGGCUAACUACGUGCCAGCAGCCGCGGU